RNAcentral lists this ribosomal RNA (425 nucleotides) under uncultured Butyricicoccus sp. Its description in RNAcentral is "bacterial SSU rRNA". It matches the Rfam family "Bacterial small subunit ribosomal RNA", at positions 355 to 794 of the family's 1533-position model. Lineage: Bacteria; Bacillati; Bacillota; Clostridia; Eubacteriales; Butyricicoccaceae. The record is from RNAcentral.
GGGGGAAUAUUGCGCAAUGGGGGAAACCCUGACGCAGCAACGCCGCGUGAUCGAAGAAGGUCUUCGGAUUGUAAAGAUCUUUUAUCAGGGACGAAGAAAGUGACGGUACCUGAUGAAUAAGCUCCGGCUAACUACGUGCCAGCAGCCGCGGUAAUACGUAGGGAGCGAGCGUUAUCCGGAUUUACUGGGUGUAAAGGGCGAGUAGGCGGGCUGGUAAGUUGGAAGUGAAAUGUCGGGGCUUAACCCCGGAACUGCUUUCAAAACUGCUGGUCUUGAGUGAUGGAGAGGCAGGCGGAAUUCCUAGUGUAGCGGUGAAAUGCGUAGAUAUUAGGAGGAACACCAGUGGCGAAGGCGGCCUGCUGGACAUUAACUGACGCUGAGGAGCGAAAGCGUGGGGAGCAAACAGGAUUAGAUACCCUGGUAGU